GAUGAACGCUGGCGGCGUGCCUAAUACAUGCAAGUCGAGCGAACAGACGAGGAGCUUGCUCCUCUGACGUUAGCGGCGGAAGGGUGAGUAACACGUGGAUAACCUACCUAUAAGACUGGGAUAACUUCGGGAAACCGGAGCUAAUACCGGAUAAUAUAUUGAACCGCAUGGUUCAAUAGUGAAAGACGGUUUUGCUGUCACUUAUAGAUGGAUCCGCGCCGCAUUAGCUAGUUGGUAAGGUAACGGCUUACCAAGGCAACGAUGCGUAGCCGACCUGAGAGGGUGAUCGGCCACACUGGAACUGAGACACGGUCCAGACUCCUACGGGAGGCAGCAGUAGGGAAUCUUGCGCAAUGGGCGAAAGCCUGACGGAGCAACGCCGCGUGAGUGAUGAAGGUCUUCGGAUCGUAAAACUCUGUUAUUAGGGAAGAACAAAUGUGUAAGUAAAUAUGCACGUCUUGACGGUACCUAAUCAGAAAGCCACGGCUAACUACGUG
This 497-nucleotide ribosomal RNA is filed under the name uncultured bacterium. Its description in RNAcentral is "partial 16S ribosomal RNA". It matches the Rfam family "Bacterial small subunit ribosomal RNA", at positions 28 to 507 of the family's 1533-position model. The record is from RNAcentral.